UACAUGGCAGUACAACAGCGAGAUAACAAAGAAUGU
Molecule: unclassified non-coding RNA, 36 nt
Filed under: Leishmania tarentolae
Lineage: Eukaryota; Euglenozoa; Kinetoplastea; Trypanosomatida; Trypanosomatidae
Description: guide RNA
Source: RNAcentral